RNAcentral lists this ribosomal RNA (659 nucleotides) under Ornithobacterium rhinotracheale. RNAcentral describes it as "bacterial SSU rRNA". It matches the Rfam family "Bacterial small subunit ribosomal RNA", at positions 136 to 794 of the family's 1533-position model. Lineage: Bacteria; Pseudomonadati; Bacteroidota; Flavobacteriia; Flavobacteriales; Weeksellaceae. The record is from RNAcentral.
CAGGAGGAUAGCCCGGGGAAACUCGGAUUAAUACUCCAUAAGAUUUUGAUUGGCAUCGAUUAAAAUUGAAAGAUUUAUUGGAUAAGGAUAGGCAUGCGUCAGAUUAGUUAGUUGGUAGUGUAACGGACUACCAAGGCGAUGAUCUGUAGGGGGCCUGAGAGGGUGAACCCCCACACUGGUACUGAGACACGGACCAGACUCCUACGGGAGGCAGCAGUGAGGAAUAUUGGACAAUGGAGGGAACUCUGAUCCAGCCAUCCCGCGUGCAGGAAGACGGCCCUAUGGGUUGUAAACUGCUUUUGUAUGGGGAUAAAUCUACCUACGUGUAGGUAGUUGAAGGUACCAUACGAAUAAGCAUCGGCUAACUCCGUGCCAGCAGCCGCGGUAAUACGGAGGAUGCAAGCGUUAUCCGGAUUCAUUGGGUUUAAAGGGUCCGUAGGCGGGCUGAUAAGUCAGUGGUGAAAUUUUGUCGCUCAACGAUAAAACUGCCAUUGAUACUGUUAGUCUUGAGUGAUAUUGAAGUAGCUGGAAUGUGUAGUGUAGCGGUGAAAUGCAUAGAUAUUACACAGAACACCGAUUGCGAAGGCAGGUUACUAAGUAUUAACUGACGCUGAAGGACGAAAGCGUGGGGAGCGAACAGGAUUAGAUACCCUGGUAGU